Molecule: small nuclear RNA, 109 nt
Filed under: Microcebus murinus (gray mouse lemur)
Lineage: Eukaryota; Metazoa; Chordata; Mammalia; Primates; Cheirogaleidae
Source: RNAcentral
GUGCUCGCUUCGGCAGCACAUAUACUAAAAUGUGGAACAGAUACAAGAGAAAGAUUAGCAUGCCCUGCGCAAAGGAUGACCGCAAAUUCGUGAAGCGUUCCAUAUUUUG